Molecule: long non-coding RNA, 305 nt
Filed under: Mustela putorius furo (domestic ferret)
Lineage: Eukaryota; Metazoa; Chordata; Mammalia; Carnivora; Mustelidae
Description: lncRNA (ENSMPUG00000026819.1)
Source: RNAcentral
GGGUUGUGUAACUUGCUGUGGCCCAAAAUGUGAGUAGAAGUGACAAAUAUCAUUUCUCACUAGAUCCAUCAAAAGCUGUGAUCCCUUUCCCUCUGCUGCAACAACCAGCCAUGUUCCUCUGGUGACUUCUGGAUCAUUCUGGUGUCUCUGACGUGGGGCAGAGCCAUACCAGUCUUUUAUGGAUCUGUAAGGUAAGAGAACACUGGGAGCUUCCCAUCUUGCCCAGAGUUACCUGGCUAGUACAUGGCAGCAUGGAGCUUCAGACUGUGGCUGGCUGAUUCCAGACAGAAUAACGUGCCACAAAC